GGAGGAUAAGCAAGAACCAGCUUUUAGAAAGCUGGUGAAAAAAAAAGCUGUUUCAGCCUCAAGCCUAUGAUAUUUCUGAGGUUUUUUGAUCCUCAUUUCCUUGCUCACAGGUGAAAGUGGUUUCCAUUUUUAGGUAAAAAGAUUCAGGCACCCCAAAGGAGGAAAGGGAAGCAGGAUCUGGCAAUGCCUUUCCAAGCAUGCUUUUUAACCCCCAGUUCCAUGCCCUGCAUGCAGUCACCUCAGCAGGACAGUGGUGCAGAGGCAGUGCUGGAACACAGGCUGGUGCCACAUUGCUGCUCCCUGCUCCUGCUGCCAUGUGUCACAGCCCAGGCUGCUAGGGCUGAUAGGCACUGUGUCCUAGGCUGGGGCCUCACCUGGAGUGCUAAUGGCAGUCCUGUCCAGAAGUGUCUUUGCGCACCUCCAGAAAGCUGCUCUUCUUCCUGAGGAACACUGUGGAUAAGUGACUGGUUACCAAUGGCAGAAGGCAAAAAGAGGGAAGUGCUAUAUGUUGUGUAUUUAAAUGUAAGCAACAGCAUGUGAUGAACUGAAAGUUUCAUGGCUGAGCACCUCAGAAGACAGUGUUGUCUAGUGUGUAAAUUCUUCAGUGGUGAAUGUCAGCUUACUGUGACCUGGCACAUACCUGGGCCACGCCUGUCUUCAGCUAAGGAAGAAGUUAUUACACUUGAGCAGCUUUAAAGAUGAGCUAACCUGUGGGCUCCAAACUGCAGCCUCUGUGAUGCUCAUUCAUGCACCCUGAUUUUGUACUGCACCUUGUUUGAAAGGGAAAUAGGAUCAUAGGUGGGAAUUUCCCAUCACACACAUGGAGCACGUGAUUGGAAUUCAUCAAUGUCAUUUGUAGCAGCUACCCUCAAGUUCAGCAGCCUGUCAAAGGCAGUGCAGCAGGCAUUAACCUGGUGUUUGUCUGAUGGCCUUAACAGCAAGGAGUGGUGGCUGGGGGAUGUGGGCAUUGCUGUGCUACUGCUGCAGUGCAUUUAUUAUCAUUAAUAUAGUAUUGCUAGUGAAAGUAAAAUCCAGUGUAGAGUAGUGGGAAAAAGCAAGUCAAAAUUCCUUAGAAAUGCUUAAUAUGGUGACAAAUGUAACACAAGUAAAACAUUAUUAUUGCACUAUGUUUUGUUCCUUGUAAAUUGAUAUUGCACUGUUGUUUUUUAAGGGACUUGUUUACAUGACCAGAAUAUGCAUUAUAUGGACUUUGCAGUAAAUAAGGGUGGUAGGCUGGUACACAGAUAUGACCUGUGCACCCUGUCUACUAGCAUCUUCUUUGUCAGAGAUGUUUUACUGCAGUCCUGAGUCUUGAAACACUUUUUCUUAUUUUAAUUUUGUCUGUAAUUGUACCAUUUCAGUUAAGUUUUGCCUGAAUUCACACUGGAAUUGUGAACAGGAUCAAAGUCUGUGGUGUAAUUAAACCAAUCCCGCUCACAAGAAUGCAAUCUCUUUUCUGAAAGCUACUUCUCAUAUAUACAAAAUGAGCUUACUUGUAUGUACUCACGUCAUCUGUUUCCCAUUAUGCAUGCUUUGAGACCUGUAUAUGAGGAAAUAUUAAGUAAAAUAUUUUUAUUAGACAUUUUAAAGUACAUAAGAAAAUGGAGAAAGUACUGAGAUAUAAGGCAAUAGGUUAAGCAAUCUUACUGUACCCAAGGCAGCAUUUGCACCCUAUCUCAGAUGGUGAGACAGUGGGGCUGCACAAUUUCAGAUUUUUCCUGCAAUGACUGCAGCCGGCUCCAUGGUGAUAGGUUAAACUUGAAUUUUGUAACCAAAGAAGACAGAUUCACUCUGGAGCCUGAACAUUGCACUCUAUGACUCUCAGAUAGUCUCUCUGAAGGUUUGCUUUCUCUACAAGUCUUUCUGAAGACACUGUUGAUCGCUCUAACUACAAAAUGACUAUGCAAAUGUGGGCUGGUAUCCUUAUAAAAAUGCUACUUCACAGCUGCUAUUAAACUAGUAGUGUUGGUAUGGGAUUGUGCUUGGAUUCUUAGACUUAUUUUCAUCAUAAUUCUACAAUUUGGGCUUUUUGAAUAUAGCAAAUCUUUGUUGCUCACGUUUCUAUGCUUGAGGAUGCUGGUGUUUGGAGCACCCAUAAGGGCAUUUUGUGCUCUUAUGGGUGUUCCAUAGUCCUAUAAACAUGGCUAUAUUUUUCAGUGCUCUGAGGCGUUCUCAUUUUUAUUGCCAGUAGGAUUUUUGCAUGUAGCAAAAAUACUGUAGCUUUCUGUACCCCAAUUUUCAGCAAUACCUGUCUUGUAUUGCCAAGUGAAAAAUAAAUCAAAUUGCCGAAGUUUUGCUGAACUGCAGGAGACCAGAGUGUAAGAAAUAUCAUAGUGGAGAAUGCAGGCAGUUGGAAUGAUGCACCAUAAUCUGUACUUGUUAAUUAAACAAUCACAGCUAGAGGUGACAUUAGAACUUUACCUGAUUAUCAGCAACAGCAUAUUUACAAGUAAGAAUUAUGCCUUUAAAAAGCUUUUUAAAAAUGGGAAAAUUGUUUUAACAAAUGUGCUGCUGCACUGGCA
This is a long non-coding RNA of Passer domesticus (house sparrow), 2522 nucleotides long. RefSeq lists it as uncharacterized. The record is from RefSeq and is a predicted model, not a curated record. Lineage: Eukaryota; Metazoa; Chordata; Aves; Passeriformes; Passeridae. The transcript is spliced from 2 exons.